RNAcentral lists this small nuclear RNA (110 nucleotides) under Castor canadensis (American beaver). The record is from RNAcentral. Lineage: Eukaryota; Metazoa; Chordata; Mammalia; Rodentia; Castoridae.
GUGCUCACUUCAGCAGCACAGAUCCUGAAAUCAGAAUGGUGCAGACAAGAUUGGCAUGCCUCUGUGCAAAGAUAACAUGCAAGUUAGUUCUUGAAGCAUUCUAUAUUUUC